Molecule: ribosomal RNA, 445 nt
Filed under: uncultured bacterium
Lineage: Bacteria
Description: bacterial SSU rRNA
Rfam family: Bacterial small subunit ribosomal RNA
Source: RNAcentral
ACCAGACUCCUACGGGAGGCAGCAGUGGGGGAUAUUGCACAAUGGGGGGAACCCUGAUGCAGCGACGCCGCGUGGGUGAAGAAGCGCCUCGGCGCGUAAAGCCCUGUCAGCAGGGAAGAAAAUGACGGUACCUGAAGAAGAAGCCCCGGCUAACUACGUGCCAGCAGCCGCGGUAAUACGUAGGGGGCAAGCGUUAUCCGGAUUUACUGGGUGUAAAGGGGGCGCAGACGGCGAUGCAAGCCAGGAGUGAAAGCCCGGGGCCCAGCCCCGGGACUGCUCUUGGAACUGCGUGGCUGGAGUGCAGGAGGGGCAGGCGGAAUUCCUGGUGUAGCGGUGAAAUGCGUAGAUAUCAGGAGGAACACCGGUGGCGAAGGCGGCCUGCUGGACUGCAACUGACGUUGAGGCCCGAAAGCGUGGGGAGCAAACAGGAUUAGAUACCCCCGUA